GUUCUGUGGUCUACUGUGUGUUCGCAAAUACAGAAGGAGCAGCCUGGGAGUCGGCCAUCAGACUCGCGCUCAUGCCUUUACAGAGCAUUGGCCUCAGCACAGCAGGGCCUGCAGAUGAUCGAGCCAUCAGUGAAGAAAUCCAGGAUAUUAGUUUGCUGUAUCAGGUUUUCUCUGAUGAAGUGUUGGGAUCAGGUCAGUUUGGAGUGGUGUACGGAGGUAAGGUGUUCAUUCAGAGUGAUAAGUAAUCUACACUGUUAGUCCAUUAAGAGCUGGCCAUGUACAGAGAGUUGGGUUUGUGUGCAGGUACUCACAGGCAGACGGGACGACCAGUAGCCAUUAAGGUCAUUGAUAAAACUCGCUUCCCGGCCAAGCAGGAG
Neoarius graeffei (lesser salmon catfish) is the source of this 377-nucleotide long non-coding RNA. RefSeq lists it as uncharacterized. NCBI's taxonomy places the organism in Eukaryota, Metazoa, Chordata, Actinopteri, Siluriformes, Ariidae. The transcript has 3 exons. The record is from RefSeq and is a predicted model, not a curated record.